RNAcentral lists this long non-coding RNA (1670 nucleotides) under Phoenix dactylifera (date palm). RNAcentral's name for it is "long non-coding RNA (PDAC_LNC014129)". The record is from RNAcentral. Lineage: Eukaryota; Viridiplantae; Streptophyta; Magnoliopsida; Arecales; Arecaceae.
CAUGUUAUCAAUGAUAUGUUGAGGCAAGUUCAAGAAGGAUAUGUUGAAAAAAAUGUACAUAAAGUGUAAACUGAGCACGAAAGCCUAGCAUAGAUGCUAGCAUGGGGUAACAAGGAGACAGCUGCAACUAAGUGAAAAAUAAUGCAUCAUAUUCCUCAAAAACAACGACCUCACCAUUGAAGCUAAGGCUGGCGUCAUAAGAUGAAACCAAAAAAAAUCUGCAGAAUCAUCAAACUUGAAUACAUUUUAUGGAAUUUAAUCCGUCAAUUGGUUCUAUCAAAUAGAAGGACAUGUUCAGAGUGAUUAAAAUUUCUGGGGCAAAUACAAUACCACAAAACUUAACUAAGAUUGCUACAACAUAGAAGAUUUGUAACAAAGUGCAUAGCAUAUUAAGGCUAAGAUGAGAUUGUUAGGUUUUAGUGCAAGCAUGCAGUUAACCUGAUUAUAGAUCCUGAUAGCUACAUUGUAUGCUUCAGUUUUUCUUUUAAAUGUCGUUAUGUCCAACUCCUAUAAGAAAUUCUUUAUGAAGUUCUAUUUUGAUUGAAAUAUUUAAAUUCUUAAUACAUUUCCUUUUUUAAAUAGGUCAUCAUAGCUAAUUAAAGAAGAGAACAGACAAAAGGAUUACACAACAAGUAUGAAGUUUGCUGUGAAAUUGGAAGAAUGAACAUGACUAGCCUAUUCUGGGUUGGGCUAUGGUUUUCCAAUUCGCAUACAUGACAUUUGUCAAUAUAUGAAACUUUUACCCUUGAGGUCAAUGGCAUGCCCUAAUAUGCAACCGAUGUAGCCUAAGGAAUCAUUGACAUGAACAAGUAAAAAACUAAUUAUUUUAUUCACUAAUUUUGACUGUUCGGCGGGCUUCAAUCACAUAAAAAGAUAUGCAACGACAAAAAGGUUUUUGGGGCAGAUACAAGAAUACAAGGAUCAACAAUUCCAACUACAACAAAGAGAUUGAGAAAAAUGCAUGUAAUCUUAAUGAGAUGAGAUAGCUUAUGUCAUAUGCCAGCAAAUAACUAACAUGAUGGUAGAGUCAUCUUGACAAGCUAGUAAAUUUAUGUACUUCUACUUAGAGGCUGUGUUUGGUUCCUCGAUAGCUAACCAGGGGGUGAAUAACAUUAACCACUGGUAGUCACCACUUAAUCAGUCAACCAUGAAAAUGGAAAAAUUGCCAUUUGGUUGCUCCUCACUUAACCGGCCCUUUUUGUUGAUGUGGUAAAAAAGCUGUUUGGUUGAAAAAGUAUGGGUUAAGUGCCACAUUUUUUAUAUGAUAUGAACAAGAAAAUGUAGCAAUAAAUAAGGGCAAAAGGUGAGGGGAGAAGGGUAAAUCAGGGAGAAAAAAAAUGAUAGGAUGGGGCUUAACUAGGCUGCUAAAGUUAUGCUCCUCCCCCAUCUCCCCGCUCCCCCAACUAGGAAAUAUCUUUAACCAAGUUGGGCAAGUGGGCAUUCACUGAAUAACCACCACUUAACCGGAGGUUAUCCAAGAAUCAAACAGGGAGUAGAACCUAUGUAUAAGUGACCAACAAAUUGAACAUAAAUAUAUUCCAAAUAGAACUACAUGAAGGCAUUUCAGUGCAAAGAAUAUGCAUGUAUAAGGAGCUACAUAGUUAGGAGGAUUUAAUUUAAUAGGAUGCAAAGUUUUAAUAUCUGUUCCUAAGUAUUAUCUCAUCGAGAGU